GAACGAUUGAACGACUGAAACGACGAAUCAGUGUUCACAGUCGGCAUCCAACUUUCCAACUAGAAGCAGCAGCGUUAACGAUAGUCUUUGCGCGGUUAAAAGCCACGAGGUCGUUCAUUUAAAAACUACCUAACCAAAACUUACCCCACUGCCCUCCCACAAAAGCCACGACCGAUCAUGCGUUUGGCAAAAAAGAAAAUAGAAAAAAAGUGAAAGAAUUGUGCGCCAUCAGAAACAUGUGAAAAAAGUGUCCCCACCAAAAAAACAAAAUUCGAAUAAACUAAAGCGUAAAAAGAACGCGUUCCGUAAAGCGUAGCCUUAAGCAAAACCGCCGCCCAACAAAAUACCCAAAACUGAGCAAAAAGUUAUGCCUAUUCAAAACCUGUAGGGAUCUGAUAAUAAUCCAUAUAAAACGUCAAGAAAGCACAAGUUUUGCUCAAAACAACAACCUCAUCAACUAUAACCAGAAAUACCCCAUAAAAAACCCCAUUAAAAGUGCAAAAAUACAAAGUAAAACAGUGCCAAUUAACAGCAACUAAAAAACAUAAAUAAAUCGUCAUCGGCAGCAGACAUAAUAACUAUUAUCUACAAAAUAUCACAGUCAACAAGGAGCAACAGUUUGCUGAAUAAUUUCCACAACCAUUUGGCACUUUUUUGGCGGUGACCAAAAGCACAUCUUGAAGCGAAGGCUUUGCGUGUGUGUGUGCGAGUUUUUUUUCGGGCUGGCGAGGAGUGCUUGAAAAAUCUGCAAAGCUGCAACUCCACAACGAACAGUGGUACCACCCAAUGAUGGACGGCUUCGCGCAGGACUGGCCAACGCUGACCCACACAGACAAUGGCCUGGCCAUGGACCAGCUGAGCGGGGUGGUGGGUGGCGGCGACCUGCCCGGCGACGUGGGCUUCGAGCCACAGACACGUGCCAGAUCCAACACAUGGCCCUGUCCACGGCCCGAGAACUUUGUGGAGCCGGCCGACGAAUUGGACAGUACAAAGGCCAGCAAUCAGCAAUUGGCAGCAGGAGACUCACAGCAGGCUAUACAGAAUGCGAAUGCAGCCAAAAAGAAUUCAUCGCGUCGCAAUGCAUGGGGAAACCUAUCCUAUGCGGAUCUCAUCACGCAUGCCAUUGGCUCCGCCACCGAUAAGCGUUUGACCCUCAGUCAGAUCUACGAGUGGAUGGUCCAGAAUGUGCCAUACUUUAAGGAUAAAGGCGAUUCGAAUAGCAGUGCCGGAUGGAAGAACUCUAUACGGCACAAUCUGUCGCUGCACAAUCGGUUCAUGCGCGUCCAGAACGAGGGCACCGGCAAGUCCUCCUGGUGGAUGCUCAAUCCGGAGGCCAAGCCGGGCAAGUCGGUGCGUCGCCGUGCCGCCUCCAUGGAGACGUCGCGCUACGAGAAGCGUCGCGGUCGGGCCAAGAAGCGGGUGGAGGCCCUGCGGCAGGCGGGCGUGGUGGGACUCAACGAUGCCACACCCUCGCCGAGCAGCAGUGUCAGCGAGGGGCUGGAUCACUUUCCGGAGAGUCCGCUGCACAGCGGCGGCGGGUUCCAAUUGUCGCCUGAUUUCCGUCAGCGCGCCUCAUCCAAUGCCAGUUCCUGCGGACGCCUCAGUCCCAUACGAGCCCAGGAUCUCGAGCCCCAGGAUCUCUGGGGCUUCCCGGUUGACUACCAGAAUACGACGAUGACACAGGCCCAUGCCCAGGCCCUCGAGGAGCUCACGGGCUCCAUGGCGGACGAGCUGACGCUGUGCAACCAACAGCAGCAACAGCAACAACAGCAGCAGCAACAACAACAGCAACAGCAGCAGCAGCAAGGGUUUAGCGCCGCCUCGGGCCUACCAUCGCAGCCGCCGCCGCCGCCCUACCAGCCCCCGCAGCUCCAGCAGCAACAACAGCAGCAGCCAUCCUACUCGCUGAACGGCCCCGCCCCCGGCGGCUACCAGACGCUGCAGCCACAGUCACAGUCCCAGUGCCUGCUGCACCGAUCACUCAACUGCAGCUGCCUGCACAAUGCGCGGGACGGUCUCUCGCCCAAUUCAGUCACCACAACAAUGUCGCCCGCGUAUCCCAACAGCGAGCCCUCGUCGGAUUCGCUCAACACCUACAGCAAUGUGGUGCUCGAUGGCUCCUCGGAUCUGCUCGUGCAACAGCAACAGCAGCAGCUACAACAGCAACAGGUGAAAGUGGAAUUUGAAGAUAAUAACUGCGCCUCUACUUUGAUAGGACAAUGCCUGGAGGUGCUCAACAAUGAGGCGCAGCCGAUAGACGAAUUUAAUUUGGAGAACUUUCCCGUGGGGAACCUGGAAUGCAACGUAGAGGAGCUGCUGCAGCAGGAGAUGAGCUACGAUGGCCUGCUGGACAUCAAUAUACCCUUGGCCAAUGUCAGCACGAAUGCUCCGCUGGUGAGCCUGGUGAACAAUAGUACAACGCUGAGCAGCAGCAGCAGCAACCUGAGCGGCUCCACCACCACCUUGUCCAGCAGCAGUCUCAGUGCCGCCGUGCAGCUGAAUCAGUUGCAGGCACAGCUGCAACAGCAACAGCAGCAGCAGCAACAGCAUCUCCAACAGCAGCAGCAGCAGCAGCACCAUCAGCACCAGCAACAGUUGCUGCUGAACAAUAAUAACAACAACAAUAAUAAUAACAGCAGCAACAGCAGCCUUGAUUUGGCCACUCAGACGGCAGCCACAAAUCUGAAUGCCGCAAGGGUACAGUACUCGCAGCCCAGUGUGGUGACAUCGCCGCCCUCAUGGGUGCAUUAGGAUCCAGUCGAUCGCUACCAUCGAUAGAGAUGAUCCAUGUAUGUGUUGUGUGUAUGUAAUGUCUGUGUGUGUGUGCGUGUGUGAGUGUGUGUGUUUGGAACGCCAAUGGAACGCUUUAAAACGCUAAUUCUAAGGACAAUAGUGUAAAGUUUUAUAAGCAGCCGCAGAUGGGAAACGGAUACGGAACUGGUUACGGAGCAGCUGCAGGAUCAGUGAGCAGUAAGCAAGGAGAAGAAAGCAGGAUCUAGGAUGCAGGAAGGAGGAAGAUACGAGCAGGAGUCGCCGCAGCUGGACCGCCACUAAAAAGUUUACAAAGAUAAAUCUGGUCGCUUCUUAUCUAACAUACAUACAGUACAUAUACAUAGAUAUAUAAUUACAAAAAUAUAUACGAGUAUAUAUGCAUUACACAUAGAAACGCGAAGCAUACAAAUAAUACCAAUAAUAACCAAUAAUUAGAUGCUACAAUUAGUGAAAUUCUCUGCUGCAAAGGAGGUACGAAAAUGGAAAGGCAACGGAAAUGGGAAAAACAACUUCCCUGAGCGCCUUGAGAGCCGGUGAAAAGUCAGCGCUAAUGAUGGGAAAACUAAAAACUGAAGAAAUUGAAUUGAAAAUAUGGUUAGUCAAUAAGUUGAACUUUGUACAUAUUAAUUUUAAUAACCUUGACGUAAUGCAACCAACAAACUAUAAUAAUAAUUAUAAACAAACGUAAAACGUACACUAAAUGUUCGAUAAAACUACGACUAAAAAAAAAGGAAAAUAUUCAUCAAGAAAACAACAGACAGGAAAUGCUAUACAAAAAGAGGAUAGGAUGGAAGAAAACAAGAAGCAUAAACAGAAAAUAGAAACCGAAAGAAAUUAGCACAAUUAUGUAAUAAUUUAUGCUUAAUUAAUGUAUUUAAUUGAAAAUCUAAUUGUAAUUGUAUAUUUUUUCUAGAGAGAGACAGCAAACGAAACCCUUAAUGAAAGAAACUUGUGUAAAAAUUAUGCUUAAGACUCGCAAUGGAAUACGUAAAAUGUUCUCUGGUUAGUAGUUAGUAGCUCUACCAUAACCUACGCCUCCCCCGAAAUGCGCUAUUCACCUUUUGUUAUAUGAAUAUACACCUGUUUGUGUAUCUGUAGAUCGUACGCGCUAAUAAACGGGCAAAACGAAACGAAACACAACCACUAAACAAAACCCACAGAGCCCAUUGAAUGUAAUUCACGAAAUUUCAAAUAUUAGUAAAUGUAUGUAAAUGUUGCCUGGCAAAAAAGUAGCAGAAACUCAAGCAAAUCACACACUAUCCAAAAAAUAGAAGCGAAUGCAAAAGCUGAAAAUAUUAAACACAUACUUGCGCCUCAUUGUGUACUAUUAUGGGCUAAAUGUUAAUUAAUAACUAGAUUGUACAAUUCAAAUGUAGUUCAUACUAUUUAAAACAAAUGCAAAAACGGAGUGAAGAUGAAUAAAUCGAUGAUUCAAUUUAA
Molecule: RNA transcript, 4212 nt
Organism: Drosophila pseudoobscura
Lineage: Eukaryota; Metazoa; Arthropoda; Insecta; Diptera; Drosophilidae
Gene: foxo
Gene name: forkhead box, sub-group O
Exons: 11
Source: RefSeq, a predicted model, not a curated record